AGUGCUACACCGGAAGAACGGAUUACUUUGAUGAGGUAAAAUAUGGGAUAUUCCUUGGCACUU
Molecule: transfer RNA, 63 nt
Filed under: Lens contradens
Lineage: Eukaryota; Metazoa; Mollusca; Bivalvia; Unionida; Unionidae
Description: tRNA-Ile
Source: RNAcentral